Molecule: long non-coding RNA, 8122 nt
Organism: Orcinus orca (killer whale)
Lineage: Eukaryota; Metazoa; Chordata; Mammalia; Artiodactyla; Delphinidae
Exons: 2
Source: RefSeq, a predicted model, not a curated record
UGCUCGUCAUCUUUAUAAUGAGGUAUCAUACCCUAGUACCAAAAAUACAUCCCAUUUCCUUAAAAGAAUUUGAAUGACUUCUGCCAUCUUGCAUUCAUGGCCAUUUUUGUAUGUGUGAGUCUGUGUGUAUGUGGCAUUUGGGGGGUUUAUUAUACAUGGUUUUUUUUUCCUGUAAGACAGUGGACAAUUAUACUUCUAUUGGUUUUCAAGUUAAUGGCCUCUUGCAUUUCAUGUGUGGGGGUUUUAUCUGGGAGCAUAGGUGAAUUCUCUGCAGCCUGAGAAAGCCAGCUUCUGUUUCUCCCUGGCCUAAAUCUUCUUCCUACCUCAGAGUCUACCUGUUUAGGGCAAACCUUCGCUUACCUGCCUUGCCUCCGAGGUUAGCCAAGUGGCUCAUCUGGCUUCCAGGAGCGCUUAUGUGGUUUUGACACAGAUGAACAUCAGUAAGUACCUAUCUUCAACUCUGCCAAAUGGGAAUCAUUAAAUCGAAAGCAUCUAACUCAUUUAACGUUGCAACUGAAAACAGGUGUCCCCUCUCAAGAUCCCCAAGAUGGCAAAAUUUGUAAUAAGCUUCUAAUACUGAGAGGCAGGUGAUAUAUCAUGUGCUCCCCAAAUAUGCACAAUUUUCGUCAAUUUAUACUUUUAGAAUGUCGACAUCGCUAAGACUAAAUUUGCGUUUCCUAAUGCCAACUGAAAAGAGUGUGUACACAAAAAGAGGUAGAAUUUCAGUUAAGACAUAUGAGGGCUAUCCAGGGGAUAUUUUAGAGUUUUUCGCUCUUCAGUCAAAAGAAACAUUUACACUAGCCACUGGAAUAGGUUCUGAGGUGUUUCCAGGCAGAAGGAAUCACGAGUCGUGGAAGGAGGAAGGAUAAUGCUUACAUGAGGGUAAAUAGUCUAGUUCAGUGGUUAUCAAACUUCAGCACACACUAGAAUUAACUUGGAGCACUUGUAAAACCCCAAAUUAUGAGGCUCUACUUCUAGAGUUUGUGAGUCAGUAGGUCUCGGGUGGGGACGGAGAAUUUGCCUUUCUGAUGAGUCCCAGGGCUACUGGUGCUGCUGGUCCUGGGACCAUGCUUUGAGAAACACUGACAUAAUUUAGCUGGAGAAAUGCAAAUAGAGGGAGCAGGAUAUAAAACUGGAAAACCAGUCUGAGUUUAUAUCAUGGAUGACCCUUACUGUCAGGGUUUACUAGUUUAUUUAAUCAACAUUUAUUGAGUGCCCACCAUGUCCUAGGUACUGGCCCAAGCCCUCCCUCCAGAGAGCCAACAGUUAAUAAUAGUGACUCACAGCCAGAGCUUGAAGUAUAGUGAGUAGAGUUUGAAGAAGCACAUUGAAUCUUGUAGUUUUAUAUUUAAGGAGUAGAAAAAAAUCCCUAUUGUUUCUGUAAUAUACAAUACAGGAGGGAUGUGAGAUUUUUACAUGAAUCAAAAAGGGGGAUAUGGGUUAAGUGUUGAGAAACGCUUAGUGGCACAAUGAUGCUUUUGAAGAUUUUUAAGAAAGGGAGCCAUCUGUGCAAGAUGUGUAUAAUAAGCUGGUUAAUGGUAGCAGGCAGGACGCUGGUCGGAUUGGAGGGAGGAGACCAGUGUGACUACAUGUGUAACGAAGGCCUUAGCCUCACGCGAGGAUUGGGGGUGGAAAGGAAGAGAAAAGUGAGAUUCUAGAGCUGGAAUCUUUAGGACUUGGCCAUUGACUGAUUGGGAUCUGGGAAAAAAUGGGAGGUUCAAAUGAAUAGAAAGUUUCAAACACGAAUGACCUGGUAGUUGCCAUGGUGAUAGUCAUAUACAUAAGAAACUUAAUAAAAUGAUAUAUGGAGGAAAGUUGAUGAAUUUGGUUUGGGGCUUUUAGAGUUUCAACUGCCAGUUGGGUAUCUAAGUCAAGGAGACACAGGAAAAUGCUGGUCUUGGGUUCAGGGGGUAGAUUGGGACAAUGAUCUCUAUAUUUCAGAGUCAUUUGUAUCAAAGUGAUAGAAUUUAAGAAUAGGUGAGAUCACCAAUGGAGACAAUAACCGUGGCAGUUUGAUUAUUUUUAUAUAUUGAAUUAUUUAAGGUAUUUGUUUGCUUUAUUUCUUACGGCUUUUUUUUUUUAAGCUUUUUGAUGUGGACCAUUUUUAAAGUCUUUAUUGAAUUUGUUACAAUAUUGCUUCUGUUUUAUUUUUUUUGGCCCCGAGGCAUGUGGAAUCUUAGCUCCCCGACCAGGGAUCGAACCCACACCCCCGGCACUGGAAGGCGAAGUCUUAACCACUACACCACCAGGGAAGUCCCUAUUUCUUAAGUAUUUAAAGUGAUUAGACAUCUUUUUUAUAAUCCUCUCUUUUAUUAUUUUUUGCUUAUUGCCUUGAUAUAUCUUCGAAGAGAUGAGGAAAGGGGUGUGAAAAUCAGGAGAGCGAAAGGGAAAGAGGAUUCAUUCAUUCAUUUAUUCAUUCAACGGACAUUUGUUGAAGGUCUACAGUGGGCCAAGAUAGGUGCUGAGGCUACGGUUGUGAGCAAAACAGGCAUUGUCCCUGCCUUCACUGAGCUUAUAGUUUGAUGGGGAGACAUGUCUUUUUAAAAAAUGACAUAAUAAUCAUAAAAGUGAAUAUAUAAUUAAAGCUGGAUGCUUUAAAGACAAAGUAAAGAAUGUAGUAGAAAGGAAAGACUUCCCUUUUGCUCUGAAGAAUUUGGAAAACUAGGUAAAAGAGGAUGGGGAUAGGUUUAAAGCUUUCCAGGCAAAGGCAAGGUACCAUUUAUGCAAAAUCUUUAAAGCAGAAUGCCGGAAUCCUCACAGAACUUAAAGAAGGCUAAUGUGGCAGGAACCUCGUAAGCGAAAGGGUCAGAGGUAGAAGAUGAGUGAAAUCAGAUGGUACGGAGCCAUGGCGAGUCAGUGAAAGAUUUUAAGUAAAAGAACAUUGUGAUAGAGCACUCCUGGAGGAUAGAGUUUGGAGAAUCCAUUGGAUGGCGCAGGAAAGGAUACAGGGGACCAGUUGGAUGGCUGUGGCAGUAGUCCAGAUGAGAAAUAGUGCACUAAGAUAGCUACAGUAGAUACAGAGAGAAGUAGGUGGGUUGGAGAGUUUUAGGAGGUGCAGUUUUUAAAAAAGACAUGAGUAAUUGUGUGAGGAGGCAGCAGAGGGGGAGGUGUCAAGGAUGGUGUCCAGGUAAUUGGAUGCCGUCACUGAACGAGGAAACACUGCAGGAAAGAGCUUAUACCUGUCUACCCCUCACACACCUGGGAGUCAUCCCCUUAGACCCCGGGGGUGCCUCAUCAAACUCACCUUGACCCAGGGCAGCUGUCUUAGUCCACAGGUGCCUGAGAACUGACGAAGGCCUUUCCACGUGGAAUCUUGCCUGCACUGUGUCUUGCCACCCCAGUUUGUUUUUUUCUGCCUUCUUAGGUUUAAACUUGAAUGUAUUUCUUAGAGUGGGCUUUUAAGAAGCAAGUCAUUGCCAACCUUAGGCCCCUUUUCUCAUCCUUCUAUUUUAGUCAUAGAAAAGUUUGCUUUUCUUGUCUAAACUGGCGCAUUGACAUGCAGACUUGACAUCAGAUAAGAGGGGCGUGUGCACUCCAUCAAUCUGCAGAGUUUUAUUUGCUUCUAGGGCUUCUGUGGCAUUUGUAGAAGACUGCCUGCCUCACUGGGUUCAGUCCAUGUGAGCUUUUCAGGUCUGAGAGUAGCAUGUAAUAGCUCCCUAUAUGAACAGCUAGAAAGAAGCAUAUUUAAUGAGGCUUUUCAGGGAGCCAGCCCCCUACACAAGAGACUCAGCUGAGAGUCUUGUGCAAUUUGGGCACUGCAAGAGUUAAACAGAUUUUAAUCAAAUAGCUUUCUACCCACCUCCUCUCCUCAAUUCAAAAAGCAGUAGUGCAGUUCUGGAUAUGUAAUCAAAUGGGGUUUGUCAGUUGCUUGGCUAGUUUAAUGGGAAGGGAUUGACAUUAAAUCUGCUCUGUUUACCAUCAGUCUUGAUAAUCUGUAAGAGAGUAGAGGGGACACUGAUGAAAUUCACAGAUGAACAGAGAGGUCCCAUCAGGAGGGAACAAAAAAUUAACUUUAAGGGUCCUAGAGAGAUUGGAAAUGGGCAGGAAGUAGCCAAGUAAAAAUCAGCUUGGAAAAAUGUAUAUAACCCAUCUGGGAAAAAAAGUACUAUCUAUACCUGGCUGAUGGUCAAGAGGAGAAAUAAAGCUAUUCGGAAUAGUGCUUUAGAACACAUAGAUAUAAAUGACCUCCAGGUUUUUACAUAAUGAUCACCUUAAAAGUCUGUGUAUUGUUGGGUGUGGGGGUGCUCUUUCACCAACUUGAAACCACUGCUGUCAGAUAUACGCAGGUAAAAGUAGUGUCUGGAGAUGAAUAUGAAAACAUUUCAUUAUAGUCAUAGUUCUUUCAGACCUAGAGUUUGGUCUGCCCAGUUGGUUUGUUAAGUAUGAAAACAACUGCUUAUCCAGGACUCCUGGACUCCUUUCCUGCAGCAGGUUAAUUUGUUGUGACUAAACCCAUCUCCUAUAUCUGUCCACUCAGCUACUUCAGAACUAGCCAUAAAACCAAAGGAAGGAAACACGACAAAGCCUAAGAUUUGGAUUCUCUUCCAUCUAUGGUAAUCAGUCUGAUUCCCUAAGAAAAAUAUUGAAAGAACUAUGUCUAAUUUCUUUAAUUGAUCAGUACCUUCCUUUUGAGUUACAUAUCUCCUGCUUUUGAUACGGAGACCCAAUCCUGUUGUCAGGGAGUCACAUGGUUAGACUAGUACUUUUGGUCUUUUAUUUGUAGGAUUGUGUGUGUGUGUGUAUGUGUGUGUGUGUGUAUGAACUUGCCAUGUUCAGUAAUGCACUCAGUCAUUUAUAGUCACCCAACAUGUUGUUGGGUGACAGUCACCAAGAAACUAAUUCCCAAAAGGAAAUUCCCACUGCAACAUCCAACCAAGAGUGUACGGUGAGAAUGGAGAACCUAUAUGGGCCCUGGAGGAAUGGCAUCAGGGUUCUGUUGCACGGUUACUGAUGACUUCCCCAAAAUAAGGGCUAGUCAGCAAAAUAACAGACACAGGGGCAAGAGGAAACAGCAGGGGUGAGCCGAAUAUUAGAACAAACCACCACCAAAAUGAAACCGUUUCAGAAGUUCAUGAAGCACAUUCACGAAAAUAAGUAUCACACAUCCAAGAGGCUCAUGGGUAGUUAGUCCCUGCCCUCCAGGGAUAAUCAAAAGAGGAAACUUAAGGCAAAAUGUAUAUAAUUAUCUAAUCAGAGUUAUUCUGCACAUAAUCAUGCUUAACAAAUAUUCAGCUGUGUAAUCAGAAAUGGGAUACUUCUCUGCAAAAUAUUUUAGAGGUGCUAUGCAGUUUUACUGGAAUGUCCAAAAUAUGUUUAGUCAAAUACUAAAGCAAUGUAUUCUUUCGAGAACAAUCCUAUGCUACUGUUCCAAUUUCUUAUUUCCUAGUCUGUGCUAUUCAGAUUGUUGGUGAAAGAAUAGUUUAUUUUUAUGACACUAUAAUAGUCAUUCUCCUAUCUUACAGCUUGGUCAGACAGGCCUCUCCUGUUUACUGAAAGAUGUCUUAGUAAUAAACUAACAGGUCCCAGACUACCUGAAUUCUUGCAAAACAGCACAGAUUUUUGUAUGUGGCAUGAUGCACAGAGUUCUAUUUACUCAAUGUUUUAAAAUUAGGAAAAGUCGUUUCAUUGAGCCAGAGACAACUUAGUGAAAACUUUCACCCCACUUUAAGCCAAUAAUAACUGCAGUUGAAAGAUUGUUUGAGAAGCCUAAGAUAGUAAAAUUACAAGCUCUUUGUAUCGUGUAAACUGUAAGAUGUGCAUUAUAAGAGCAUCUCUUUUUUUUUUUUUUUUUUUUUUGCUGUACGCGGGCCUCUCACUGUUGUGGCCUCUCCCGUUCCGGAGCACAGUCUCCGGACACGCAGGCUCAGCAGCCAUGGCUCACGGGCCCAGCCGCUCCACGGCAUGUGGGAUCUUCCCGGACCCGGGUACGAACCCAUGUCCCCUGCAUCGGCAGGCGGACUCUCAACCACUGCACCACCAGGGAAGCCCCUAUAAGAGCAUCUUAAUGAAUGUGAUACAUUUGCAGACACAGACAUUUGCCCUUUUCUCUCUCUCACUUGUUAUAGAUUUGGGUCUCUUACAUUUACAUAUAUACAGGUAUUAUUUUUGUGAUUAUCUGAUUGCUUUAGAAACUUUAGGGACUUCCCUGGCAGUCCAGUGGUUAAGACUGUGCUUCCACUGCAGGGGGCAUGCGUUCGAUCCCUGGUCAGGGUAUUAAGAUCCCGCAUGCCACGCAGCAAGGCAAAAAUAAAUAAGUAAAUAAAGCCACAGUUUUUUUUAAAAAAAAAGAAAUUUUAAUUAAAGCGUUAUCAGUAAAAGAAUUGUUUUACAUGUUAUAUGCCUAAUUAUAUUCAGAACAGGUAUUAUAUUCCUUUUUUAUCGACUAUGACCUCUGUGCUUAUAUCUUAGCAUGUAGCCCCCAAGUUGAAGCCAUUUUUAUGUCAACACAUGUAGACAUCCAGAAAUGAACUAAAAGUAAGGUGACUGAAUUUUUUAUAUUUGGUUAUCUAUGUGGUUAAUUACUGAUGAUUAUGAGUUAGGGUUUGACAUACUAGAAAAUUUUAAAUCAGUUUGGUUUAUCAUGUUGAAAUUUGGGUUAUAAUCACGUUAACAGUCUAACUCAAAUGACGGUGUUACUACCAGCACCACCCUGUUAAUUGAGAGUCACAGUUCGGAAUAAAAGUAUGCACUGCUGUGAUUUUCUAUAUCACUUACCUGAAAAAUAGCUGCUAAAGAAUAUGUAAUAGGAAAUUGCACUUUUCUCUUGCUAAAUAUCUGUAAUUUCUUUUAAAACAUAUGUGUAUUCUGCUUGUUAACUCCCAGCACAUAAAACCAGGUGACAGUAUCAGCUCUCUAAUUACCAUCCAUCGUAGUUGGCCCUGGCUCUUCUGUCCUGACCAUCCCUCGGUCCUGUCCCAUCCAUGUAGUUCACCUUCAUUCUCAUGAAAGUGCUCUACACUCAAACUGUUAGACUGCCCUUAGAUUUCCUUUAAAAAUCUCGUCCUUUGCUUUAAAUUAAAGAAAUGAGCAGGACAGAAAAGAAACUAAAAGGAACAAAACAACAGAAGAACUUAAGGCAUCUUAUUAUCUGGUGAGUCUUCAUUAUUUUAUGUCAGCAUUAUGAAAUUAAAUUCAUAUUAGAUCUAUAUAAGCCAAUUAUUAACUUAUAAUAUCUUGUGUUUAGGGAACUGCCCUGGUGUUUCAAAUCCUGGCAAGUAUAUUUUUUUCCUACACCUUAACUUUACUUUUUUAAAUGAAAACUUCUCUUUCUGACCUGAUCCUCUUUUGUCUUUCAGGUUUCUAGCACCUUUGUAUUACUUCCAGAUUCCUGCAGAGAAAUGGAACAUCAAGCCAGAAGCUCACUUAGUUUGUUUUACAUCAUGAUGGGGGAUUUCAUUAAGUGCCUGACUGUGCUCCAUUGUGUCACUAAGAGCUUUCUCUGCCACCUAGGACAGGCAUUGCCCGUCCUCCAGAAGACUGAAUUUUAAGUCAGAGAACUUUGAAGCCAACAGGUAGAAGAAAGAUCGAACAACAGAACUAGUAUGGAACAAGGACAGAGAUAACUACUAUUGUGGUACAAAAAUCUUAAGGGGUUCCGAGUCUUCAUGCUUAGGAUUUGGUAUUUCUAAUAACUUGAACCAACAGAAAUGCUGGUAACAGUUGCAUGGACUUCCUUUUACUGAUUUUCUUACGCUCCAGAAACAUACCAUCCCAUGUUCAAAGGAUGGAAGUCCAAAGAAUUCUUAUCUUUAUUCCCUAACAUGCCUAGCUCCAUCAUACUACUGGUCAGUCCUGUGUGUUUCCUACCUAACAAACUCAGAUCAAAGCCAAAUGAAAUGUCUUCUCCAGACCUUUCUCACUCCUAAUUUUAUAAAUAAAAAAUAUUUUUAUUUUUUAUAUAAAUACUUCUUAGAUUCCAGUUUCUGUUAAUGAUGGACUAGCUUGAUCAUCCACAGGUAAUAAUGAUGAAAUUGGACAAUUUGAAAGUAUUGUAGAGUAACCAGAAACAGGCAGAAACUGAAUAAAUCUAACCUUGAAAGACAAUGGGUGACAUUUGUUUAUGGGUUUUUGCCUGAGGGCAUUCUCCAAUCUUGGGUCAAGAACACAAACUGAAGGUGUUGAA